This 237-nucleotide unclassified non-coding RNA is filed under the name uncultured bacterium. RNAcentral's name for it is "16S-23S ribosomal RNA intergenic spacer". The record is from RNAcentral.
UAAGGAAAAAUGAAGAAUUUUGGUUCUUCAUUCAACAGACGUUUCUGCUUUUGUUUAGUUUUGAGAGAAUUAUCUCUCAUAUUGCUCCUGCGCCGCAGUAGUUCGAGGAAGAAAAUCCUCAGCUCGUCGCAAGGCUGCAAAGAAGCUGCUCGUAGAAGUAGCCUUGUUCCUUGAAAACUAGAUAACAAAUGACAAGACAUCAUUGAAAUAAAGUAAGUUCUUUUUAAAAUUAACGUA